UUCCCCUGGCUGCUGUAUCUAAAGUAGGCUCUCCCUACGUCCCAGUCACUCUCUUUCCCAAGUCUUAGUGUCUUUUCCAGCUCUUAUUACCAUCCGAAGGUACGUUCUGUCUUUCCCUACUACCGUAGGGAGAACAUGGCCAAUUCUGUUCGCUGCUGGAGUCUGGAGCCUGGCACGCACUAGGCGCUCAGAAAGCCUUUGUUGAAUGAAUGAAUCAGUUCAGGCAUUCUUUUCUUGUUGCACCCUACAUGGAGGCCUGUCUCACAAACCUAAACCCAUGGCUGCUGGCUCCAGUUAACCACAGGUCCUGCCAUUGCUGUUAUAACUGCUCUUCCAUCUAUGAAAGUCAAGGGUGCCUGCCUUUUGUAUUUAUAAAGCAAAGCUUAAGAAAAAUUGUCAGAUUUAGUUCCAGUUAUGAAUUAGGCUGAGGUCCAAGAUGAUUCAUAUUUUAACUAAAACCUGUUUGCUUGAGCUUCUUCUGUUUCCUCUGACAUAAGAUUGAUUGUGGUGGGAAAAGGAAAGUGGGGGCACAUGUGUUCAGGUUACUUUUCAUAGCAGAUCAACCACUUCUCAGUUGAAAUCCAGCAUCUGUCUUAGUCAGCUUGGGCUGCUAUGACAAAAUACUGUAGACUGGUGGCUUAAAUAACAAUUUAUUUCUCACAGGUUCUGGAGGCCGGAAGUCCAAGAUCAAGGUGUUGCAGACGUGGUUCCUGGUGAGAGCUGUCUUCUUGGCUUGCAGAUGGCCACCUUCUUGCUGUGUCCUCACAUGGCGGAGAGAGAAAGAACACUAGAUUAUCCUCCUCCUCUUACAAGAAGAAAGGCCACGUGGGGACACAGUGAGAGGUGGUCGUCUACAAACCAGGAAGAGAGCUCUCACCAGAAACCAACUCUGACGGCACCUUGAUCUUGGACUUCUAGCCUCCAGGACUGUGAGAAAAUAAAUGUCUGCUGUUUAAGCCCCCCAGACUGUGGCAUUUUGUUAUGGCCCCCCAAGCCGACUAAUGCAUCAUCCUUCCAGCAUUCUUACAGCUCCCCUUCACUGCUCGCUCCUCCUAGGUGCCCAGGACUUGCCUGCUUCCAUCUCUUUGCUCUGGAAUCCUCUUAGGAUGGCUUUUCUCUCUGUUGCUGAUGUCAAAAUCUCAGUAGCAUCUUUGCAGAUGUAAUUAAUUAAGGAUAUUGACGUGAAAUCAUCUGGAUUCAGAGUGGGCCCUAAAUCCAAUGACAAGUGGAUAAGAAGAGAGGACUCCAAGGUGCAGGGAGAAGACCAUGUGAAGAUGGAGGCAGACAUUGGAGUUAUGCUGCCACAAACCAAGGAACACCAGGAGACACAGGAGCUGGAACAGGCAAGGCGGGAUUCUCCUCUAGGACUUUCAGAGGGAAUGUGGCCCUCAUGACACCAGUUUUGGCAUUUUGGCCCCCAGAACUGUGAGAGAAUGAAUUCCUGCUGUUUUAAGCCACUGAGUUUGUGGUAAUUUUUCACGGCAGCCCCGGAAAGCUGACACACCUUCUCUGAUCCUUCCAGGGCAAAGUUCCCAGGGACCCUGUGCCUCCUUCCUUAGCCUUCCUCCUCCUGGGAUAUCUUAUUUAAGUGCAUCCCACCAUUUCAUCAAGACUGGCUUCUGGAGGGGAAAAUCUUUGAGCCAACAAAGUGCUCACCACAGAGCCUUGGAUGUUGCACUGUUUGUGGUCCACAAAAAUGUCAGUGCUGGACUGUCAAAUUUCCUAAAGGAAAUAAUAUUAACUCUGCCCAGGACAAAAAUCUUGGAGUGAUGACACCUGCAUGUGAGAUAUCCAGAUUCAUUUACAUGGAGGCACGUAGAUGAGAACGAGAAUUUCCUAUAUAAUUGAUUUGGUGGUAGUUUAUCGAUAUUUUAUGAGGAACAUUAUUGUGUGGAAGAAGGAGCGCCAGACUGGGAAUUUAGAACUCUGUUGGUUGGGGUUUGAGUCAAGGUCUUGCUUAUUCCUGGCUGUGAGACCUUGCAAGUCACUCUUUGAGGCUCAGGGUCAGCAUUAGCAAAAGGAGGGUAAAACUGCCAAUGCUGCCUGCCUCAUGGGGGUGUUAUGAAACUUCUAGGAGGCAGGUUAUGAGAGAGGGCUCUGGAAGCUGCAAAGCCUCUAAGUGUGAGCUGGGUUGACCAUCAUCAAGGUGGCCUUGUGGAAUCCUGGUCAUAGUCACAGAGCCACAGGAUUUAGAUCCAUAAGGGAAUUAAGGGAUCGUGGAGUGAACAUCCUAAUUUCCUAUGAGGAAACUGAGGCCAAAAGAAGUUGUUACUUCUCCAUCUGGUUUGAACCAAGGGGACCCACAGUGGGAGCCUGUGCCCCGCCUCUCUGAGCUGAGAUGCUGCGUGUACACAGCAAAGGGCCACAGGGAGAAAGAGAUUGCAGAGCUUCUGCCUUUGCAGAAACGAACCAAACUGAGCUCAUCUGAUGGAAUGGAUAGUUAGAACGAGCGUCUGACCAUCCCCAGAAACACAAGCAGAACUUUGUAAAUAAUGUUAAACUCAUUUCAUGAAAUGAUUCUUUGGAAUGUAUUUUGAAGAGGAUGAUAAAAACUUUGACAAUCGUGGUCUGGUCAGGGCCCCAUUUACAGUGGCAUCUAUUUAGGGCUGUGGUUAUAGGGUGAUGUUAUGCCCUAGAUGAUUUGACAGACAUUUAAGGCAAACAGAUUAGGUGGAGCGGCCCCGAGAAGUUACCGGCAAGUCAGCAGCUCUCAAAUGAAAGAGUCAAAUGAAUAAUGUGAUGUCGAGACUGACAGCCUCGUUCUUGAACCUGAGACUCUGAAAAUGCUAAUUCUGGUAAUCCCAGCUGCUUGCUGAGGAAGGAAGGAGAGAAACAUGUUACAAGGCGCUGGGGAUGCAAGUGGCCUGAUAACUUUAAAAUGUCCUUUACCGUGAGCAAGAUUGCAGGGUUGGUUACGUGAAAGAAGACUGUAUUUGUUAAGGAAAUGAGAAAUAUGGUUGUGAAACGUGGAUAAUAAUAACACUUUCAGAUGGGAGCUUAUUUUAUUUUCUAGUAAAGAAAACAUUUUGUGGCGAGGGCCUGUGAUGGUGGCAAGGCAUGUGACUCAAAUUAAGCUUAUGCUUUGCUAGAUAGAUGAAGAGCUGCGUCUUUAAAUGACUUAAGGGGACUUUUCAGGCAACUCAGCACUUGGCAAACAUAAUUCUGACGAGCAGGAGCAGGUGGGUGGCUCAGGCGUCUCAACCUUGAGGAGAUGACCCCAAGUGACUUUGUUUUUUCCUGAUAGUUGCAAGAUAAAAUAAGGGUCCAUUAAAGAAACUGGGAAAGGUACAUUCGUUGUUCAGGUGGAAGGGAGAGGAAUGUGUGACAGACAAAUAGAAACAGGUGUAACAAAAGCACAACAUGACAGAAGCCCUGGGGAGCCUGCUGGCAAGAAGUCCCCAGGGUUGGUGGUAACUUGUGAGAGCAGUUUCUGUUUGGUACAAAGAAAUUACACUCAACCAGCAAUGGCGCUCACACAAGCGUGCAGACUCUUGUGACUUCUGAGUGGGAGAUCUCUCUCCUGUUUUUCUACCCUUGGGAGCGAGACCUCAAUGCUGUGGGAAAACACCUCCAUGCAUGAGGCGUUAGUGCCUUUCCAGAGCUUUGAGAGGCUUUAAAUGCUUUGAAAACUGUGUCACUUUUCUGAAAUUGUUUCAAAUUAUGAGCACUUUGACACUAUCUUUCACUUAUUCUAAUGAUUCUAUUUUCUUCCUUAUUCCCCUCCCUCUUCUGCUUCCUCUCCUCUCUUUCCCUCCCCGUCUGGGUAAGGUUUCUGGCAGCUGGCUUGUUUGCCAGGAAAAAGACAACUGCUUGCGAAGGAGAAAACGCUUUCCUGCUCGCUCGGCUGCGCUGGGAUCCUGCACCCCUGGCUAGGAUAGAAAGCUGUGGGCUGUCUAUGGGUUCCUGUGGUUUUGGAAAGAGAAUCCCACUCUUUGUGUCCAUCUUGUAAGAAUGUGGGCAAAUUCAGGGGUCUCAGGAAAGAUUCUGAAAUCUUUGAAGUUGAUAGUCUGUCUUUCUAAAAGUUCUCUGGUGGGUUAAUCAUUUACUUAGCGUUUUGGACUUGGGAGCACAUGUUUACGGGGACAGAGCAUGCUGUCUUGCUUGGCUUCUCAGAAAACACUGUGGAUGCAGUUUGGAACGUCUGCAAGAUGCUGGGCGAAUCCAUAAUGUUAUAUUGAAUAGGAUUAGAGUGGCAUGUUUCAUUUUGGUUUUGUUUGGCAUAAAAAUUCUAUCAGAUUCUCUUAUGUUCAAAUCUCUCACUAAAUUCAUGUGAGUUUUGCAAAUCUACAUGUUAAUAUGUCCACACACACAUUUGUUUUAAAAAAUGGUGACUUCUAUUCAAUUUAUGCUGUUCCUUAUUCUUUCACAAUAUCACCUUUUCCCAUUGUUACUGUCUUAUAUAUUUCCAUGAGUCUGUCUAACCUGAGGUGGAAAAUCAACAGUAAUUAUUUAUAUAACAUGAGACCCCAAAAGACUUACACAUGAAAGUCACAUAAUGAUUUAAAAAUUGUUGUUUCAGCUCUUUCAACCUUUCAUUCCGUAUUUAUUUCACUUUCCCCCAUGCACACACAUACGCACACAUAUAAAUAUUAUGUAUAAUAUUUUUCUAAACCUUGAUCACUUGAUUAAGGUGGUUGCCAGGCUUCUCCACUAAAAAGUACUACUUUUCUCUUUGUACUUAGUAAACCAUUUGUGAGAAGAUGCUUUAUGACUGUGUAAACAUCUUGUUUCUCAUUAAAUUUUCACCCACUAAUGUUGGCAUCCACUGAUGAUUUCCUAACUCCAUCAUCGCCAAGUAAUAACUGGAGAAGAAAUAAUGGAGAUAGAAAAUUAAAACUUUUUAUUAAAAAAAAUGAUCUGUGACACUCCCUUUACUAUUCUACAAUGUAUUUUAUAGGUGAUAUAACCUGUCUACACGUAUCUUUAACUGUAAUAAACAGAAGAAAUG
This 4948-nucleotide long non-coding RNA is filed under the name Equus asinus (donkey). RNAcentral's name for it is "lncRNA (ENSEASG00005030786.1)". Lineage: Eukaryota; Metazoa; Chordata; Mammalia; Perissodactyla; Equidae. The record is from RNAcentral.